UCGGCGCUGUAUUGCCAACCCCGCUCUUUGGGCUUUUAGAUACUGCAGGCACAGCGCCAUGUCACUCUGUAGCGUCGACCGUAUGGUAUUCAUUUCGCUUUUUCCCCUUCGCUCGGUGAGUUACGUUCCUAUCUGUAUUAGUUUACGUGUUUUUAUUUGCACAACCCGUACGCGCGCGUUUGCGACAGCUUUCCCGGAGAAAGUGCAUUUUGACUAAACGUCAUUCUCAUCAAAAAGCCUGAAACGAAAUUUCUUCGAUGGAAGUGGACACGUGGUGCCCAACGGAAUGACGAAGUAAAUUCGGUCGCCCACCGGCACUGAAGCGCUAGGCCAACGCCGCAGGCAGCCUAGCCUUAGUUGCGUAGUGUGCUCCUUCCUCAUAGCAGGCUAUCCGCUGUUGCUGCCGUGCGGGCCCAUGCUCCUGGGAAGCAUGCCGCUACGUGCUCUAUCUUGCGCGCACGUCUAGAAAGGCUCGGCAAUAUAAUUGAUCCCUACGGUGACACGUCGUGCCGAAGCACCUUCGCUGGAGAUGAACAGCCGUCGUCGGCGCCUUCCCCAGAUCGUGGCGACGAUAUGGGUUGGCACGUUUUGCUGUUUUCGCCCACUGGCUGUUAGCCCGUUCCGCGCUAAUGUCAUCAUCAAUGCAGGUGUGCGCGCGGCCUAUGCGUGCAUGUCUGAAUCCUGGUGUCCUCAAGACGGCUUACUUCGCUUUCCGGGAGCUCGGCAUGCAGACAGAAGGAGAGCUACACAAGCUGUUCCCGCAUAAAGCGUUGCUGAGAGGCACAGCGACGCUGCAGUGGCUCGACUGUAAGCGCGUGGACGGAGUGCCCGUAUCGACUGAAUUGGCUGAAAGCGUACCUACAUCUCGUCGUUAGAUUCAGUACGUUUGUACAUCGGCAUUUUUACUUUACAGCAAGUGAGUACUUAACGUGAAGGACUAAUUUGUUAUGUGUCCGAAUAAGCGCAUGACAAUUCCUGCAUCCAGGCUUGUUGCCAAGCGAUAUUGUAACGGUACAAGCGCUCCUGACAAACUUGUCCUGAGCAUUGUAACGCCUCGAGAAUUGGACCGAGAGUGAGCCCUGCUGUCUACCCGACACUGGGAAAGAGGGUUAUAGGAAAGAUAGAUAGGCUACGGAAGAAGGAAGAAGCCAAAGUUGCGUUGGAGACACACACGAACCGAAGUGUUGAUCACUCAGUUCGGUUUUGACUUCGGAAACUUAAGGGGCGCUCUCGUGGCUCUCUACUUGGACGGUGCUUUUCAUCGGACAUUGACGAAGAUUAACAAGUGAUGCAAUUAGCUUUUAGCAGAGCUACGCCCAGCAGGACGUCAUGGGGAUCGAUGUACUCCUGACUCGGGACAUCCGACUUCUUUUUGUAUGCACACAGUGUGCCACUUCGCGAGUGCAAUUUCACAGGUCCUUCGUGGACUUCAUGCUGGACGCAAACUGGUUUGAACAUGUCUAAUAUUUUCUCUAUGUAUUGUGGCUCUGAGUACGUUUUCGAAUAAAAUAAAAAUGCGUUGCUCGUUGCCAGGCUAC
Molecule: long non-coding RNA, 1538 nt
Organism: Dermacentor andersoni
Lineage: Eukaryota; Metazoa; Arthropoda; Arachnida; Ixodida; Ixodidae
Source: RefSeq, a predicted model, not a curated record